RNAcentral lists this ribosomal RNA (253 nucleotides) under uncultured bacterium. RNAcentral describes it as "partial 16S ribosomal RNA". It matches the Rfam family "Bacterial small subunit ribosomal RNA", at positions 524 to 776 of the family's 1533-position model. The record is from RNAcentral.
UACGUAGGUGGCAAGCGUUAUCCGGAAUUAUUGGGCGUAAAGCGCGCGCAGGCGGUUUCUUAAGUCUGAUGUGAAAGCCCACGGCUCAACCGUGGAGGGUCAUUGGAAACUGGGGAACUUGAGUGCAGAAGAGAAAAGCGGAAUUCCACGUGUAGCGGUGAAAUGCGUAGAGAUUUGGAGGAACACCAGUGGCGAAGGCGACUUUCUGGUCUGUAACUGACACUGAGGCGCGAAAGCGUGGGGAGCAAACAGA